GACGAAUGCUGGCGGCGUGCUUAACACAUGCAAGUCGAGCGGUAAGGCCCUUUCGGGGGUACACGAGCGGCGAACGGGUGAGUAACACGUGGGUGACCUGCCCUCAGCUCUGGGAUAAGCCCGGGAAACUGGGUCUAAUACCGGAUAUGACUCCAUGACGCAUGUUGUGGGGUGGAAAGCCUUGUGCGGCUGAGGAUGGGCCCGCGGCCUAUCAGCUUGUUGGUGGGGUGAUGGCCUACCAAGGCGACGACGGGUAGCCGGCCUGAGAGGGCGACCGGCCACACUGGGACUGAGACACGGCCCAGACUCCUACGGGAGGCAGCAGUGGGGAAUCUUGCGCAAUGGGCGAAAGCCUGACGCAGCGACGCCGCGUGAGGGAUGACGGCCU
RNAcentral lists this ribosomal RNA (388 nucleotides) under uncultured bacterium. RNAcentral's name for it is "bacterial SSU rRNA". It matches the Rfam family "Bacterial small subunit ribosomal RNA", at positions 28 to 417 of the family's 1533-position model. The record is from RNAcentral.